Molecule: ribosomal RNA, 533 nt
Filed under: uncultured Leuconostoc sp.
Lineage: Bacteria; Bacillati; Bacillota; Bacilli; Lactobacillales; Lactobacillaceae
Description: bacterial SSU rRNA
Rfam family: Bacterial small subunit ribosomal RNA
Source: RNAcentral
GUGCCAGCCGCGGCGGUAAUACGUAUGUCCCGAGCGUUAUCCGGAUUUAUUGGGCGUAAAGCGAGCGCAGACGGUUUAUUAAGUCUGAUGUGAAAGCCCGGAGCUCAACUCCGGAAUGGCAUUGGAAACUGGUUAACUUGAGUGCAGUAGAGGUAAGUGGAACUCCAUGUGUAGCGGUGGAAUGCGUAGAUAUAUGGAAGAACACCAGUGGCGAAGGCGGCUUACUGGACUGCAACUGACGUUGAGGCUCGAAAGUGUGGGUAGCAAACAGGAUUAGAUACCCUGGUAGUCCACACCGUAAACGAUGAACACUAGGUGUUAGGAGGUUUCCGCCUCUUAGUGCCGAAGCUAACGCAUUAAGUGUUCCGCCUGGGGAGUACGACCGCAAGGUUGAAACUCAAAGGAAUUGACGGGACCCGCACAAGCGGUGGAGCAUGUGGUUUAAUUCGAAGCAACGCGAAGAACCUUACCAGGUCUUGACAUCCUUUGAAGCUUUUAGAGUAUAGAAGUGUUCUCUUCGGAGACAAAGUGAC